Lolium perenne is the source of this 2010-nucleotide long non-coding RNA. RefSeq lists it as uncharacterized. NCBI's taxonomy places the organism in Eukaryota, Viridiplantae, Streptophyta, Magnoliopsida, Poales, Poaceae. The record is from RefSeq and is a predicted model, not a curated record.
ACUCUCUGCUUCCUCUCUCGUCCUUCACGCGACACGCACGCACGCACGCAAGUUCCCCCAUGGCGACGCCGCGCUGCCGCUUUUUCCCAGCCGCCACCGGCCUUCUCCGGCGUCGCUGCCUACCGGCCCUGCUCCGCCUCCUCCUGAACUCCAAACCCCCCAGCUCGAUUUGGCUUUGGUGGUCUCUCUCGUUCGCCCCCGACCCCGAAACCCUAGCCACUGCCGGCCGAUUCGGCCAUCGCCGGCCUCGGCGAGCAUUGCCGUCGGUCGAGAUGGCGCCUCCACGGCCGUCUCCGUCCGCUACCCUUCGCCGCUUCUUCACCUCUGUCGUUUGGCUGAUGCGGUCUCGCCUCGGACUCCGCCCCGGCUUAUUACCGCCGCCGCGCGUCCACGCGGCACUGGCUGGACUUCCGCCGGCCCUUCAACUGCCGCGACGCCGCCACUAGCAUCGACACACCCCUGGCCAAACCAAGCUGUGGAAUCGGCUUGGUUGCCAGCGCGGUGCCGCGCUCCGCCUGCUGCUCCCCAAUGGUGACCCCGCCUCCUCGUCGACCACGAGCCCCAGCUCGAGCUCCUGGUGGUUAUGUGGUGUUAGUUGCUGCUGCGGUGGUGAUGGGGUACUGCUGCUCUGAUGCUUACUUCAGCUGCGACCCCGACGUCGGCGGGACAGUGCCGUAGGCGCAACCCCGGCGUCCUCUGCCUUGCCUGCCUCCUCUACAGGGCACUGUGAGCUACUCCUCUCUUUCUCUAGGUCAUAAAUUUGGUGGUCAUGAAUUUGCGUGUGCUCGAACUGGUUGCUGUAUGUCAAUGGGGAUCAUCAUAUGAUGCAAUGUGAACCUGCUGCUAACUUAUUACUAAUAGUAAUGCCUCCGUUUGGAUGAUUUGAUCAUCCCAAACAUGGGUGUGGCCUGAUUUUAUAUCCUGAUGAAACUGAAGCGUAAUAAUGUUGUUAAAUAGGUACUGUUUUAGUGGCUGAUGGAAUAGGUGUUACAUACACCUCGCAGUAUCUGGAUGGGCUACAUAUACAUUCAGGUUAUACAACUUAGGGUAUUGAUUUCCCUAGUGAUGUGGUUGAUUUAGAGUGCUUCUAUGGGCUGUGUUACUGAUCCUUGAUUAUCAGGUGAUAGUCUGUCCAUACAUCAUCAUGGCCUGGGACAUAUUGAUAUAUACUUGCUAGAUCACCUAUGGGCUUAUAGUUAUUGUAGCUUUGUUGUAGGCUUCAGAUGAUCCAUUGAUCAUCUGAUCACUUGCAGGGUAUAGAGUAUGACUGAUCCUUGACUACUAGCCCUGAUCUACAUUCUGCGCCAUGCCAUCAUGCCCUGAUCAUGAAGCACUGACACUUUGAUUUGUGGGGAAUUAUGACUUCAUCAUUAUUAUAUAUAUGUUCAAGGUCGGAUGUAAGUAUUUGGCUAAUUAUUAAAGCUUUGAUAAAGAGAAUGUACAUGUUUCUUAAUUAUUGCUGUCAGAGUAUAGUUAAUAUUCGUAAUUUUGGGUGAGAGUUGAUUUUUCCUGUUAAGUUGCCAUGAUUUCUCGCCUGAUAAAGCUAACUACAUUUCAAAUCAUUAUUUCAAUCUGUUUGCCCUCGAGAUGUGGAGAAAUUGUGAGAAAUGUGGAGAAAGAGUUGUGGGAAAAUGACCCUCGAGAUGUGAAGUGCAAGAAGAGGAGAAUUGGUAAAUCUCAAGGUACCAUGUUGAAUACUGAAGGCGAUGCUGAUCAUUGAUGCUGUACAGGAGCAUAUUCUUCUAGCUAGACAGGUACACUGCUGAAGACUGGGAUCAACUGAAGGUGAUGCUGUCACAUUGUGAUGGUGUUUGAAUUGGAAACAUGGUGAUGAUGUUCACAGAGUACGUAUUGAGAUAGUGUGCUGAACAUCCACUGUGUGUAACUGAUAUUGGGUGAUAAUUACAGAAUAAAGUGCACUGGAUUAAUGUGUUGGCACUGUGUGCUUAUUCUUGUAUGACAGUACAUAUGUUCAUAUUGUGUGCUUCUUGUAUGAUGCCAUUGUUUUCA